RNAcentral lists this ribosomal RNA (421 nucleotides) under uncultured bacterium. RNAcentral describes it as "bacterial SSU rRNA". It matches the Rfam family "Bacterial small subunit ribosomal RNA", at positions 917 to 1341 of the family's 1533-position model. The record is from RNAcentral.
GGGCCCGCACAAGCGGUGGAGCAUGUGGUUUAAUUCGAUGAUACGCGAGGAACCUUACCAGGGCUUAAAUGCAUAAUGAUAGAUUGGGAAACCAAUCCUUCUUCGGACAAUAUGCAAGGUGCUGCAUGGUUGUCGUCAGCUCGUGCCGUGAGGUGUUGGGUUAAGUCCCGUAACGAGCGCAACCCCUAUCUUUAGUUGCCAGCGGUUCGGCCGGGGACUCUAAAGAAACUGCCAGCGCAAGCUGUGAGGAAGGUGGGGAUGACGUCAAAUCAUCACGGCCCUUACGUCCUGGGCUACACACGUGCUACAAUGGUAGGUACAAAGGGCAGCCACUUGGUGACAAGGAGCUAAAUCUCUAAAACCUAUCUCAGUUCGGAUUGGAGUCUGAAACUCGACUCUAUGAAGCUGGAAUCGCUAGUAA